CAGCACCGGGGCCGCGCCGCCUUCUCCUCGCCGGCAUCAACCCCCAGCCGCACAUUUACGCGGCGGCGCCCGCAGACCCCUUCGGCCCAGCUUCCGCGCGUGCCCCUGAGCGCGCCCUCGGGAUCAGCUCCUGGCAGCUGAGAGGCCGGGCCGGGAAGGAUGAUCGAGGGGGUGACUGCCCUGGGAGCACGGCAGGGAGGACACCCAGCCAGCCCUGCGAGCAGCGCCGCUCCCCUCCUCCAGGACGGGCGGGAACCUGCGACGCCCCCGCUGCGUGGGGCGGGGCCGUGGGGCGGUCUCCGUGGCACUGGGCGGGGCAAGCGGUGAGCGUUUCACGGAACUCGCAUUUCUCAGUCUUCAUAACCCAGGAGGAAGCCCACGGCGUCCUGCAUAGGCGCCGGCGCGCCAACACGUUCCUGGAGGAGCUGCGGCCGGGCUCCCUGGAGAGGGAGUGCAAGGAGGAGCAGUGCUCCUUUGAGGAGGCCCGGGAGAUCUUCAAAGACCUGGAGAGGACGUGGUGAGUGGAUGAUUGCCACCAAUCCUGCCUGCAACCCUUCUCCUCAGCAUACUGACACCAGCCCACUCCACAGAUGGGGACCAGUGUGCCUCAAGUCCAUGCCAGAAUGGGGGCUCCUGCAAGGACCAGCUCCAGUCCUAUAUCUGCUUCUGCCUCCCUGACUUCGAGGGCCGGAACUGUGAGAUGUUUGAAUAUCCAUGUGGAAAAAUACCUAUUCUGGAAAAAAGAAAUGCCAGCAAACCCCAAGGCCGAAUUGU
This 774-nucleotide small RNA is filed under the name Pongo abelii (Sumatran orangutan). RNAcentral describes it as "retained intron". The record is from RNAcentral. Lineage: Eukaryota; Metazoa; Chordata; Mammalia; Primates; Hominidae.